Molecule: long non-coding RNA, 2016 nt
Organism: Cebus imitator (Panamanian white-faced capuchin)
Lineage: Eukaryota; Metazoa; Chordata; Mammalia; Primates; Cebidae
Exons: 3
Source: RefSeq, a predicted model, not a curated record
ACUCCCACAGAUUUGCUGGCUGGCCUUAGAGCAAAUGGGGAUAGUGAGUUGGCUCAGGUUUUGCAUUAACUCGUCUGAUUUUUUCCACUGCAGCCUCCCAUUCUGUGAUAAAGCUAAGUUGCUAGGAAAGCUUUAUGUAACACUCACCCAGCAUCAGCUUCUCAGAGCAGCAAGUGUUGUUUCCAGAGUUCCCCAUAAACCUGGCAGCACAUCAAAACCUCUGUUUCAUAACAGACUAGAAAUAGGAUUUUCUAAUAACAUUCCGAGGACUGGACUAUCGCACAGGGAUCUGCACUUUUAUGAAUUGUUAAUGGUCAACUAAACAAAGACCCCCAGGACGCCCAACCUGCUAUCUCGGGUGAUACCUACACUUUACCCAGGAGUUUCAACAGAUCAAGGACCAUUGCCCAAUCGGCUGGGGAGUGACAUGAGAGAGGCACCCGCAAGGAACGAGUACAGGGAGCCCACUGAUGCGGGAGAGCUGCACAAAGUUCACUGCAAAGGGUGAAACCUGAAUUGUCUGCAGUACGCAUGGGUCUUUGGCAGACAGAUGAGGAGGCUGGACAUUUCCGCAGAAAGGACAACAUGCAGGUGUCUGCGUGACACCUGACGCAGCAGGACUUGUCAGGGGACUAGAAGUCUUUCACCGUGACCCUGAUUCAUUAGAGUCAGUCUUUAGUCAGCCUUGGAAGCGGAUGAAACUGGGCCUGCGCUUGGUGUGUGCGCAGUGUCUUGGAUGUGCCAUGGCCUGGCUUUGGGGCCGACUCCAAAGACUGGCUCUGUGUGGACUGGAUUUUGAGCUACGUGACGGCAUCUCACCCUUUGUCAAACACGGCUCUCUCACUCACUCUGCAGCUGAGCUGAGGCUGCUGGGUGAUGAUGAACCAAAUGCAACGUGCCAGGUUGCUUUUAAAAAACAAGUCUUUUAUGAUUCAUCUGAAAGGUAUUUCUUUGAUUCCGUUAAUCAAUCACUUAGCAGGUAUGUAUUCAAUGACUUUUCUGUGCAAGCCAUUGUGCUAUAGAAGUUAGCAAAAUUAAUAAAACAGAAGGAGGCACAGUAAACAAUUUUUAAUCAAAUGAGUGAAAAAUGAUGUAUAACAAAUGAACGUACACAUAGAAACACUCAGGCAUGUGAUAUUGGAAUUGGAGCUAUUCUGGGACAUCUUGGAGGUGACGUUGUCAUACAUACAAGAUGAGGGGUCCCUGAACUCCAGAGGGUACAUUUUACUUAGCUCCCCCAAGGUCUCAGUUAUAGCCGCAGCACCCCUGCUCCCGUUGACUGACUAGGACCUGUGGCAUCCUGCAGAGUCCUCCCCUCCCCCACUGCCCCUCCCAUAUGAUUCUGGGAGAUUCCAGCAGGUGGUUCACACGUGUUCACACACCGCUCUCCUGCGGCCCCUUGUUGAUGCUGCUUGUUGGUGAAACCUCCACCACUGGUCUUGCAUCUGGUGCCCUCCCAAUGACUGCUGUUGUAUGUGAAGAGAGGGGACCCUCCCAGGGCUCCUCAAACCUGCCUCUCGGAGGGGCCCAAUGGCCAUCCUUCCUUGAGGCACUGGCCUGCAGCGGUGCUAUGUCUGGCUUACACAUAGGAGGCUGUUCCUCAUCCCAGCUCCAUGGGUCACACUGGGCUGUGCCGCUUAUGCCUUCUAGAAAGCAGUUGCUUCCACCUCUGCCCGGACCCUCAGCUCAGGCCUGUCCUGGAACUGGACCUGUGGAGCCCUGCAUUUCCCUUGGCCCUGGACAAGACUCCCUGGGGCUGACUGUCACCAUCGCACAAAUCAUCUGAGGCCAGCAGGUGGCCAGGGUGGGGCUGGGCAGAGCAGGCUCCACGUCCCUGUGUAGGCCCAGCCUGACCCCAAAACCUGAAGGCAGUGGUGACUAGCAGGAUCUGUGUGCAGGUGGUUGGUAGUAAGAGCAGAACUGAAUCCUCCUGGACACUUACGCAACAGUUGCUCAGAGGAGGCCCUGGAGGCCUGAGGCUGGCAGAGAGGCUUUGCGGAGAAGGAAGCACUGGAG